UGGGGAAUAUUGGACAAUGGGCGAAAGCCUGAUCCAGCCAUGCCGCGUGUGUGAAGAAGGUCUUCGGAUUGUAAAGCACUUUAAGUUGGGAGGAAGGGUUGUAGAUUAAUACUCUGCAAUUUUGACGUUACCGACAGAAUAAGCACCGGCUAACUCUGUGCCAGCAGCCGCGGUAAUACAGAGGGUGCAAGCGUUAAUCGGAAUUACUGGGCGUAAAGCGCGCGUAGGUGGUUAGUUAAGUUGGAUGUGAAAUCCCCGGGCUCAACCUGGGAACUGCAUUCAAAACUGACUGACUAGAGUAUGGUAGAGGGUGGUGGAAUUUCCUGUGUAGCGGUGAAAUGCGUAGAUAUAGGAAGGAACACCAGUGGCGAAGGCGACCACCUGGGCUGUUACUGACGCUGAGGAGCGAAAGCAUGGGGAGCGAACA
Molecule: ribosomal RNA, 427 nt
Filed under: uncultured bacterium
Lineage: Bacteria
Description: partial 16S ribosomal RNA
Rfam family: Bacterial small subunit ribosomal RNA
Source: RNAcentral